This 486-nucleotide ribosomal RNA is filed under the name Clostridioides difficile. RNAcentral describes it as "bacterial LSU rRNA". It matches the Rfam family "Bacterial large subunit ribosomal RNA", at positions 2239 to 2724 of the family's 2925-position model. Lineage: Bacteria; Bacillati; Bacillota; Clostridia; Peptostreptococcales; Peptostreptococcaceae. The record is from RNAcentral.
UCUGGUCUUGGGACACUGUCAGGUGGGCAGUUUGACUGGGGCGGUCGCCUCCCAAAAGGUAACGGAGGCGCUCAAAGGUUCUCUCAGUACGGUCGGAAAUCGUACGUAGAGUGUAAAGGCAAAAGAGAGCUUGAUUGCAAGACAUACAGGUCGAGCAAGGAUGAAAAUCGGACUUAGUGAUCCGGUGGUUCUGCGUGGAAGGGCCAUCGCUCAACGGAUAAAAGCUACCCUGGGGAUAACAGGCUUAUCUCCCCCAAGAGUCCACAUCGACGGGGAGGUUUGGCACCUCGAUGUCGGCUCAUCACAUCCUGGGGCUGUAGUAGGUCCCAAGGGUUGGGCUGUUCGCCCAUUAAAGUGGUACGCGAGCUGGGUUCAGAACGUCGUGGGACAGUUCGGUCCCUAUCCGUCGCAGGCGUAGGAAAUUUGAGAAGACCUGUCCUUAGUACGAGAGGACCGGGAUGGACGUACCUCUGGUGUACCAGUUGU